This 776-nucleotide ribosomal RNA is filed under the name uncultured Neocallimastigales. Its description in RNAcentral is "partial large subunit ribosomal RNA". It matches the Rfam family "Eukaryotic large subunit ribosomal RNA", at positions 21 to 649 of the family's 3401-position model. The record is from RNAcentral. Lineage: Eukaryota; Fungi; Neocallimastigomycota; Neocallimastigomycetes; Neocallimastigales.
UUAUCAGUCAUGCAUAGCAUAUCAAUAAGCGGAGGAAAAGAAACUAACAAGGAUUCCCCUAGUAACGGCGAGUGAAGCGGGAAGAGCUCAAAUUUGAAAUCUUAAGGGGUUUCCCUUUACGAAUUGUAGUUUAAAGAAGUGUUUUCUGUUAGAGUUUCGGUAAAAGUUCUUUGGAAUAGGACAUCAUAGAGGGUGAGAAUCCCGUAUUUGACCGUUAUUUCUAGCUUUGUGAUACACUUUCAAAGAGUCGGAUUGUUUGGGAAUGCAGUCCAAAAUGGGUGGUAAAUUUCAUCUAAAGCUAAAUAUUGGCGAGAGACCGAUAGCGAACAAGUACCGUGAGGGAAAGAUGAAAAGAACCUUGAAAAGAGAGUUAAACAGUACGUGAAAUUGUCAAAAGGGAAGCGUUUGACACCAGUGUUGUUUAAUUGAAAAUCAAUUAACUAAUUUUUGAUUUUAAAUAGUAUUGACUUUAUCAGCUUGCUAUUUUCUUUUCGGAAAUUAUUUAAUGCACUUUUCAGUUAACAAGUCAACAUCAAUUUCUUUUGUUGUAAGAAGGUAAGAGGAAGGUGGCUUAUGCUUCGGUAUAAGUGUUUAUAGCCUUUUACCUCUGCAACUCGGAGAGAUUGAGGUCUGCAGCGUAGAUCCUUCGGGGUUAGAUACAUUUGUGCUAAGUUAUAGUAUUUUAUAGACAACUUGUUGACUAUGAUUUAUCAUGUAGCUUUACUCGCUUAUGCUAUUUUACCUACGCUUAGGAUGUUGAGUAGCGACAUACGCAC